CAGUUGUUACAGAGCUCGCUGGAGACUUCCUUCUCCCUGUGGCAUUUUCCCCGCUCCUCUGGCCGCCGAAGGAGUCCUGUGGUGCCGGGCAGGAAUGGGCUGCUUGGGGACCCAACGAGCUCCCAGAGCCUUUCCUGCUGCUUCCUCUACCCCUGUGUUUCGCUAGGCUCUCGAGAUGGACUCAGUUCCAGAUUGCCCAGCCUCACAUAUUCCUUCAUAGCAACACAAAGGGACUGAGACAAUAUAUAAGUUAACAUCUGCCAUGUAGUGGAGGUUCCAGAGAAAAAGUGAGAGAAGCUGAGUCUGCACCCUCAACAUGGAGGAAAUAAGCUCUCUUAGGACCAAGAACAGAGGACAGAGGAAGGACUCCAGCAUGAUGGGCACCAAGGGAUUUUGGUCCUUCUGAGAAAGAGGAGUCUUUUUCAGAACUAUUUGAAAACAAGUUGCAGUCAUGAUGCCUCACUACUCCUAAAUGCUAUGCAGUUCCAACAAUGUGUCUUUGCCUUCUGGCCCCAGAAUAUCAUCUGGGAAUGCGUGUUGCAUCAAGUUGCGUCUCUCCAGUUGCCUCCAAUUUGGAAUACAGAGACAGGGUCUUCCUCUUUGCCUAAGCUGGAGCGCAUUGGUGUGAUCAUCGCUCACUGCUGCCUCAAACUCCUGGGCUCAUGCGACCCUCCCACCUCAGCCUCCUGACUAGUUGGGACUACAGAAUUGGUUCCUUCCAGUGAGUUCUUGGUCUCGCUGACUUCAAGAAUGAAGCCACAGACCUGUGCGAUGAGUGUUACAGCUCUUAAAGAUGGUGUGUCCAGAGUUUGUUCCUUCAGAUGUUCAGAUGUGUCCGGAGUUUCUUCCUUCUGGUGGGUUUGUCCUCUCGCUAACUUCCAAGAAUGAAGCCGUGGACGUUCACAGUCAAGAUCUAAGCAAACACACAAAUGUGAACAACAGGGAAAGAACCCAUUGACCUACCAAGACAGGCUGCCAACAGAAUUUUGAAGGCUUGCCAAGAUGCUUUUAUGGAGGUAGAGUGAAUGAGAUUCCGUAAGUGCAAAAUAAUCCUUUUAAGACUACCCAGAAAGUAAUAUAAGUGAACUAGUUAUAUAAGAUUCAGUGAGGACUACCAAAACAUUGGGAAGAAAUGUGGAUUUUAUCAUUCAAGGAAAUAUAAUUUUAUUGUAAGAUAUAAUCUUUGUUUUUGUAGUCAAAUAGAAACAUUCAUGCCUUAAUACAACGUUUGGUAAAAAGAACUGAAGAAGACACCAUAGAAGAUUUUAACAAACAAUGAACUCAUUAGCUAAAAGAUUUGUCAUGAAAUAAUGAUUGAUUUAGUUGUUUUCUAAAAUAUUUCUAGUGCCUAUUAGAUGUUGAAGGAGACUUUGAUCAUGAAGUGUGUUCUCUGAGGAGCUGCUAUUUUUAUUUUUAUAUUUGUUUGAAGUGAAUUGUCCUGCUAAUUCUUUAACAUAAAAUAUCUUCAAUUACAUGAUUCAACAUUUUAAAAAGUGAUUAAGACAGAAGAAUAUGUGCUGGGAUUUAUUUUUGGAUCUUUGAAGUAGCAAAGAGUAGCAGAACUCCUUAAUCCAUAGAGUGGUUAUUUUGCUGUAUGAUGACUCUUGUAUUUACUCCCUGAAUUACCCUUUCCACUAAAAAGUAUUAAUGAGACAUUAGUAGGCUAUAGAAAAAAAUACUUCUGAUCUACUUAGAAAUAUUCAUGAGGUUUUCUCCUGGUGGAUUCACAUCAAAUUUUAUUUUUUAAAACCCCAAGUAUUUUUAUUUGAUGAUUAAUAAGUAAGAUGGAGGCUGGUAGGUGGAAAUCGCCAGCAGGAAAAUAAAAUGCUUUGGCUAAGCCGACAACUGCUACUGUCCUCCUCUGUACAGACUCUCCUGCUGAAGACUCACGGAGGCUUAUUUCAAGUCUUCUUUAGUUCAUUACCUGCAUGUUCAAAUGGAGCUGGUACUGUGACUCACAGCUUUCUGUCCAAGAAUGCGAUUUGUACCUCUACAAAUCUUCUACACCUUCUUCAUCUAGUAAACACUUACUCUACAGGUCUCAUCUCAAAUCUAUUACUAUAUGCAACUAUAGUACAUAAGCAAGCCAUUUAAAAAUGUUAAAGGAAGAUAUGCAUUGAUAUGGGUUGGCUGUUUUCCCACCCAAAUCUCAUCUUGAAUCGUAGCUCCCAUAAUCCACACGUGUCAUGGGAGGGACCCAAUGGAAGGUAAUUAAAUAAUCGGGGUGGGUUUUUCCCAUGCUGCUCUCAUGAUAGUAAAUAAGUCUCAUGAAAUCUGAUGGUUUCAUAAUAUAAAGGGCAGUUCCCCUGCACAUGCUCUCUUGCCUGCCACCAUGUAAGAUGGGCCUUUGCUCCUCCUUUGCCUUCUGCCAUGAUUGUGAGGCCUCUCCAGCCAUGUGGAACUGUAAGUCCAUUAAAUCUCUUUUUCUUUAUAAAUUACCCAGUCUUGGAUAUCUCUUCAUAGGAGUGUGAAAAUGGACUAAUAGAUACAUAUAGGUACACAUACAUGUAUACAUAAAGCCAUUCCAAAAGACUUUGCUUCCUGAAGUUUGUAAAUGUAAACAAAUUUAUUGUACCAUCAUUUAGGUUACUACGUUGCUCACUAACAUAGAAACAAUAUCUAAAAUGGGUACUUAUAGGGUUAUUAAAAUAUAGUAUGAAUAUGGCUACUGGAAAAAAGUCAAAGAUAUAUUUUGAGGCCACUACUCUACGUCUCUUGAUGUUCUCUUGUACACAUUUGAUAUUGCACAAAAGCCAAAAGUUUGGACUCCUUUGAUUAAAGGCAAGGUCAAGUAAUCCUGCUGGUUCUACCUCUCCUCCCAUUUCUUAAAUGAAAGGAUGUAGUCAUAUAAGGUGCUGUUUAGUAAAAUGGUGCCGUGAAUUCAGCAUGAAAUGUCUGGGCAAGUGUUUUUCAAGUUGUCACAUAUAUACUAUAUUUAUCUUCCUCCUUUUCCCUCCUCAACCUCAGUCCCCAUCACCCAGUGUUUCAUAAGGUUUUACUUUCUGUAGCUUAUACUGUAAAACCAGGAGUUCCCUUCCUCCUCUCCCAAAUAUAACCUUUUCUAAUAAUAUUAAUUGCACUUUCCCUAACUAUACAUACCUCCCUGGAGAUUUUGAACUGUAAUUCUUUCUCUCCUCCAUUUUCCUUGAGCAUUUUUCAUCUAGUGGAAUAUUCGGUGGCAAAGCUCUCAUUCUGGAAGAAGUUUAGCCAUGUAAGCAUAGAAGAAAUAAGCCAACAAUGGUAAACAUAGUUAAUGCAUGUAGUUAAGUCUUCUAAACAUGUCACUUGAAUGAUGUCACAUUUUGCUUUUUCAAACUAGGAAUCAACAAAAUGGAGGAACAUUUGAGGUUUGUUAAGAAAUUUCCCUUCUUAGCCAUAGAACUAAGAUAUUUUUAAAUAAAGAAGAUCAUAGUGGGCCAUAAAUGAUGUGCCUUUCUAGGAUCCCAAAAUGUUUUAUUGAUUGAAUUAUAUAGAGAGAUUUAAUGGAACCGUGGUUGAAAAAUGCUUUUAAAGUCUUUGAUCACUGGGAUAUCAAUGGAACAAAUGGGUUAAAACAUUUUCAGAAUUUAAUCAUUUAUCUAGGUAACAGGGUUGGGGGUAAAUGGCGGGAGAGAAGGGGAGGGCCGGGGCAUUAAUGAAUAGUACUCCAUGUAAAAAGAAGAAUUGACUAGUAACAUCUGUACUAUUUAAAUUAACAGGCUGGCAUAUAUUGUUGUGCAGGUUUUGCAUUGCCCAAUUCUUGGGGGGGGCGGCAUUCACAUUUGUAGUCAUUAUGGGUUCCUCUAUUUAUAAUGCCAAUUUUCUAGCAGAUGUUGGUUUAUUGCCUUGAGAAACUGUUAGAUUCCUCUAAUUUUUGCAAAGAUGGCUUUGGGAAGUUGAAAGAUUACCUGAUUACUAUUAGAGAAUCCUGCUACCAAUACAUACUUGUCUUGUAUAAUUUGGGCAAAAUAUAAUAUUCCUGAAUCUUAGAUUCCUUGUUUGUAAAAUGUUUAAAAUAUAUCUAAAUGUAAGAAUUGUUGUAGCAUAUAUAUGUGAGUACAUGAAUGUGGCCGUCACAGCAGCUGUAAGUGGAAGAUAUUAUAAAUAUUGUUAAAACCUUCUGAUGUUUUAUUUUAAGCUGAUAGUUUUUCUUUAUGCUGACUUUACAGUGAGUUUUAAACAUACACUUGAGUUUAUCAUUUGUAUAUAACUACUGAUAGAAAUCUGAUGAAAAACACUAAUAGUAGUUUAUAAAAGAUUUUUUUCAAUAUGAACUUUUUGUUUCCAUUGUGAGAAAUUAAAUUUCAAAAUGUAAUUAUUAAAUGUAUGCCUGACUUUCAAAUGUUUUUCUAUAUCCAGCUAAUUAAAAAUAUUUAUAACGUAGUAGUAGUUAAAUGUCAUGUUCGCCUUAUUAGAAAGAAUGCCUUCAAAUCAGUAUUAUCAUGAUUACCAUUUAUUUAACAUCUUCAGUAUGCAGGGCAUUUAUAAAAUCUGUAGAAAUUAAUUUUCUCUAAAUGCAACAAGCUUUAUGACCAGCACUCACUGUCUAUAAAAGAUGACUUGCUUGGCAGAAGAGGAAACAGUUUCUUCAGACCUUCCAGCCACAGUCAGCCCUGGUGACAUUGCAUAUCAGCUUCUAAAGGGCCUCGCACAUUCCUUGGCUUGUGAUGUCCCUUCCCCAUCAUCAAAGACAGCAACGAAACUUCAGGCUACCAUACCUGCUUCAACUGUAGGAGAAUCUUAGUUCUGGAGAGUUGACCCUCCAGGCGAAGCAUUAGGCUUUGAUACAAUUUGUCUGGUACCGGCUGUAGAUCUGGUUUGGGCCCCAGACUAUCUUCCCUGUCCUCAAGAAUCAAAACCAACUUGGAAUGACUCCUGGCCCACUCAGCACCUUUCCGGAAGCCAGAAGAAUGAAGUGCCACACAUAUCAUCAGAGAGAAUUCCAAGGAAGAGGGAAUGGUCUAUAGUGUCUCAAGCCACAUUAAUCCUUCAAGAACAGUGUUAACUUUCUCAGGCUACUGGAACUCCACUUUUUGGAACUGUUAUAUUUACUGUUGGGGAGUGACUUUGGCACCAAGGAGAACUUGGCUCAAAUGAAUGGUUUUGGAUCACACAUCUUCAUGAUUUGGGAAUGAUAUGUGUGUUUAUUUUAUGAAAAAUGUUAGUAAUGAAGCAUUUAAAAUAUAUCAAAAGGAAAAUCUCCAAGAGUUGGUGAAUCAUGCUGUUGCCAAUAAUAGGCAUGUGACAUAACUGAACAUUUCAUCAUCUUCAGUAAAUAAUCAAGAUGAGAUGACAUGCUGGGUCUGUGAUCACCAGGGAUCCAAAUGCCUUCGAUCUUGGUGCUGG
RNAcentral lists this long non-coding RNA (5325 nucleotides) under Homo sapiens (human). Its description in RNAcentral is "HSALNT0367033". Lineage: Eukaryota; Metazoa; Chordata; Mammalia; Primates; Hominidae. The record is from RNAcentral.